GGGCUUAGUGGCGGACGGGUGAGUAACGCGUAAGAAUCUGCUUUCAGGUUCGGGACAACAACUGGAAACGGUUGCUAAUACCGGAUGUGCCGAGAGGUAAAAGGCUUGCUGCCUGAAGAUGAGCUUGCGUCAGAUUAGCUAGUUGGUAGUGUAAGGGACUACCAAGGCGACGAUCUGUAGCUUGUCUGAGAGGAUGACCAGCCACACUGGAACUGAGAAACGGUCCAGACUCCUACGGGAGGCAGCAGUGGGGAAUUUUCCGCAAUGGGCGAAAGCCUGACGGAGCAAGACCGCGUGAGGGAAGAACGUCUGUGGAUUGUAAACCUCUUUUGACAGGGAAGAAUAAUGACGGUACCUGUCGAAUCAGCCUCGGCUAACUCCGUGCCAGCAGCCGCGGUAAUACGGAGGAGGCAAGCGUUAUCCGGAAUUAUUGGGUGUAAAGCGUCCGUAGGUGGGUUAUCGAGUCAGUUGUUAAAGGAUAGAGCUUAACUCUAUAAGAGCAACUGAAACUGAUAGUCUAGAGUGCGAUAGGGGCAAGGGGAAUUCCCAGUGUAGCGGUGAAAUGCGUAGAUAUUGGGAAGAACACCGGUGGCGAAAGCGCCUUCCUUGGUCAGAACUGACACUGAGGGACGAAAGCUAGGGGAGCGAAAGGGAUUAGAUACCCCUGUAGUCCUAGCUGUAAACGAUGGGUACUAGGCGUUGUCCGUAUCGACCCGGGCAGUGCUGCAGCUAACGCGUUAAGUACCCCGCCUG
RNAcentral lists this ribosomal RNA (753 nucleotides) under uncultured bacterium. RNAcentral's name for it is "bacterial SSU rRNA". It matches the Rfam family "Bacterial small subunit ribosomal RNA", at positions 88 to 875 of the family's 1533-position model. The record is from RNAcentral.